This 364-nucleotide ribosomal RNA is filed under the name Borrelia turcica. RNAcentral's name for it is "partial 23S rRNA". The stretch from base 128 to 364 matches the Rfam family "Bacterial large subunit ribosomal RNA", at positions 1 to 245 of the family's 2925-position model. Lineage: Bacteria; Pseudomonadati; Spirochaetota; Spirochaetia; Spirochaetales; Borreliaceae. The record is from RNAcentral.
UAUUUUAAAAGAAUUAUUGAUAAAAAAUAUUUUAAAGCUAUUGACAUAGAAAAAGUAAAAGUAUAUAUUAGUUUAUGUUGUAUAAAUGAUUGAGAUUGGCAAGUUAGAGACGGAAGAUAAAAAUAUGGUCAAAGUAAUAAAGAGUCUAUGGUGAAUGCCUAGGAGCUUUAAGGCGAAGAAGGUCGUGGUAAGCUGCGAAAAGCUUGGGGGAGAAGCAAACAUUUUAUGAUCCCGAGAUUACCGAAUGGAGUAAUCCAAUUAGCUAGAUGCUAAUUAUCUACUGCGUAGGCAGUAGAGGCUAUACCAGGGGAAGUGAACCAUCUAAGUACCCUGAGGAAAAGAAAUCAAAGAGAUUCCCUAAGUA